GUGAGGAAUAUUGGUCAAUGGGCGGAAGCCUGAACCAGCCAAGUAGCGUGCAGGAUGACGGCCCUAUGGGUUGUAAACUGCUUUUAUACAGGAAUAAAGUUAGCCACGUGUGGUUAUUUGUAGGUACUGUAUGAAUAAGGACCGGCUAAUUCCGUGCCAGCAGCCGCGGUAAUACGGAAGGUCCAGGCGUUAUCCGGAUUUAUUGGGUUUAAAGGGAGCGUAGGCCGUCUGUUAAGCGUGUUGUGAAAUGUAGAUGCUCAACAUCUGAAUUGCAGCGCGAACUGGCAGACUUGAGUGUGCGCAACGUAGGCGGAAUUCGUGGUGUAGCGGUGAAAUGCUUAGAUAUCACGAAGAACUCCGAUUGCGAAGGCAGCUUACGGGAGCACAACUGACGCUGAAGCUCGAAAGUGCGGGUAUCGAACAGGAUUAGAUACCCUAGUAGUCC
This 445-nucleotide ribosomal RNA is filed under the name uncultured bacterium. RNAcentral describes it as "partial 16S ribosomal RNA". It matches the Rfam family "Bacterial small subunit ribosomal RNA", at positions 354 to 796 of the family's 1533-position model. The record is from RNAcentral.